GGGUAGCAAUACCGCUGACGACCGGCGCACGGGUGCGUAACACGUAUGCAAUCUACCUAUAACCGGGGAAUAACUCGCCGAAAGGCGAAUUAAUACCGCAUAACACUUCGAGGUGGCAUCACCAUGAAGUUAAACCUCCGGGGGUUAUAGAUGAGCAUGCGUCCGAUUAGAUAGUUGGCGGGGUAACGGCCCACCAAGUCUACGAUCGGUAGGGGUUCUGAGAGGAAGAUCCCCCACACUGGUACUGAGACACGGACCAGACUCCUACGGGAGGCAGCAGUAAGGAAUAUUGGACAAUGGGCGCAAGCCUGAUCCAGCCAUGCCGCGUGCAGGAUGAAGGAGCUCAGCU
This 349-nucleotide ribosomal RNA is filed under the name uncultured bacterium. RNAcentral's name for it is "bacterial SSU rRNA". It matches the Rfam family "Bacterial small subunit ribosomal RNA", at positions 74 to 422 of the family's 1533-position model. The record is from RNAcentral.